This 397-nucleotide ribosomal RNA is filed under the name uncultured bacterium. RNAcentral's name for it is "bacterial SSU rRNA". It matches the Rfam family "Bacterial small subunit ribosomal RNA", at positions 359 to 776 of the family's 1533-position model. The record is from RNAcentral.
GAUUCCACAAUGGGUGAAACCCUGAUGCAGCAACGCCGCGUGAGUGAAGAAGUAUUUCGGUAUGUAAAGCUCUAUCAGCAGGGAAGAGAAUGACGGUACCUGACUAAGAAGCCCCGGCUAACUACGUGCCAGCCGCCGCGGUAAUACGUAGGGGGUGAGCGUUAUCCGGAUUUACUGGGUGUAAAGGGAGCGUAGACGGUUCGGCAAGUCUGAAGUGAAAGCCCGUGGCUUAACCGCGGAACGGCUUUGGAAACUGUGGAACUGGAGUGCUGGAGAGGCAAGCGGAAUUCCUAGUGUAGCGGUGAAAUGCGUAGAUAUUAGGAGGAACACCAGUGGCGAAGGAGGCUUGCUGGACAGUAACUGACGUUGAGGCUCGAAAGCGUGGGGAGCAAACAGG